RNAcentral lists this ribosomal RNA (247 nucleotides) under uncultured bacterium. RNAcentral describes it as "partial 16S ribosomal RNA". It matches the Rfam family "Bacterial small subunit ribosomal RNA", at positions 15 to 255 of the family's 1533-position model. The record is from RNAcentral.
GAUCCUGGCUCAGAUUGAACGCUGGCGGCAGGCUUAACACAUGCAAGUCGAACGGUAACGAUAAAGAAGCUUGCUUCUUUGAUGACGAGUGGCGGACGGGUGAGUAAUGCUUGGGAAUCUAGCUUAUGGAGGGGGAUAACGUACGGGAAACUGUAGCUAAUACCGCGUAGAAUCGGGAGAUGAAAGUGUGGGACCUUCGGGCCACAUGCCAUAGGAUGAGCCCAAGUGGGAGUUAGGUAGUUGGUGG